GCUGGAAUCGCUAGUAAUCGCGGAUCAGAAUGCCGCGGUGAAUACGUUCCCGGGUCUUGUACACACCGCCCGUCACACCAUGGGAGUCGGGAAUGCCCGAAGUCAGUGAACCCAACCGGAAAGGGGGGAGCUGCCGAAGGCAGGCCUGGUAACUGGGGUGAAGUCGUAACAAGGUAGC
Molecule: ribosomal RNA, 178 nt
Filed under: uncultured bacterium
Lineage: Bacteria
Description: partial 16S ribosomal RNA
Rfam family: Bacterial small subunit ribosomal RNA
Source: RNAcentral